AGGUGGGACUGUCACCUCCUACAGCGACAUACAAAGGCAGGGUGGGUAAGGCCAGGUUGUUAAAAGCCACACACCUCUUGCGGGCGGGACACAGUUAUGAGAGAGACUUUACCUAACAAAUGCAAUCAGUGUAACCAGGUUCUUCGUAGGUUCAACGAAUCCCCAACAAUAGGGAAAAAAAAAAAAAAUACUGCCCGCCUCCACCCGCCUCCGGCGCGCGGGACUGGAGCGCGAGCCGGGCAGGCGCGAGCAGAGCCCGCGGAGACUACAGCUCCCAGCAGGCGGCGCGGCAGGAGCUCACGCACGCGCAGCCCAGACCCUGGGCACAAGGACGCGCGGCGGGCUCCUUGGGAAAGAGAAUGGCUGCGGCGGGGCUGCGGCUUUCUUUACAGAGGCUCUUUGAGAUGCCGGCGGCGCUUGGGCGCCAGAGCCGAGUUUACAGCACGUCUCACGCCUUUGCUGACGUGCUACAGCUGCCGAAGGUGCAGCAGACGAAGCUGCUGUAUCCGCUGCAGGAACUCGAGCGGCACCUCGCUCCAGAUGCGAGGUCCGACCUUCACCUGAGAGUCUUCGACCCCAGCCUGGAGGACUUGGCGAGGGCCGAUACGGUGUUCACCGCUACCGCCCGGAACCGCAUCGAUUACGUCAGCUCGGCCGUCCGCCUCGACCAUGCCCCCGACAUCCCCUGGCCCGAGGUGUGUUUUAUAGGCAGAAGCAAUGUUGGAAAAUCCUCCCUCAUAAAGGCUUUAUUUUCACUGGCCCCUGAGGUUGAAGUCAGAGUCUCCAAAAAACCGGGACAUACAAAGAAAAUGAAUUUUUUUAGAGUUGGAAAAUAUUUUACAUUGGUGGACAUGCCAGGUUAUGGCUAUAGAUCUCCUGAAGAUUUUGUUGAAAUGGUAGAGACCUAUCUAAAAGAACGAAAGAAUUUGAAAAGAACAUUUUUAUUAGUGGAUAGUGUUGUCGGAAUUCAAAAAACAGACAAUAUCGCCAUAGAAAUGUGUGAAGAAUUUGCAUUGCCAUAUGUGAUGGUAUUAACAAAAAUUGACAGAUCUUCCAAGGGACAUCUUUUAAAACAAGUGCUUCAGAUACAGAAAUUUGUUAACACACAAACACAAGGAUGUUUUCCUCAGUUGUUUCCUGUAAGAAAGAACUGAAGAAAUUAAAACUUAUUCUGGAAAACAGCAAACUUUGUAGAAUCUUAAAGGAAAUGUGAUCAUCAGUGCUGUGACCUAUUCUGGAAUUCAUCUAUUGAGAUGCUUUAUAGCAAAUAUCACAGGAAAUCUUAGCUAGUAGCUCCCAGGUUAGCCAAAGA
RNA transcript from Nycticebus coucang (slow loris), 1312 nucleotides. It is a transcript of the gene named GTP binding protein 8 (putative), with no coding region annotated. The transcript is spliced from 7 exons. The record is from RefSeq and is a predicted model, not a curated record. Lineage: Eukaryota; Metazoa; Chordata; Mammalia; Primates; Lorisidae.